CUCUCUCUUUCUCUCUCCCGCCUCACCUCCUCUCUCUGACUCUUUCAGCCAACGGCAGUAGCAAGCGUAGGACUCCACAGAAUACCUCGCCGGGAUCUAGAUCUUCGUCGGUGUGUUCUCGACUCCACGACUAACGGCACGGGCGUCAUCUAGCCGCCGGCGCGUCCUCGACUCUACCAGCUUCGGGCGGCAGAAGGAGGGGAGGCACGCCACGGCCGAGCAGCAGCAGCUGCCGACCAUGGCUAGGACGGAGAGCAGGUGUCCACGGCUGAGCCUUCUGCUCCUUCCCCCAUUCGUUUCUACCUUCAGUUUCUAUUUCCUAAGUUUGGACAUGGAUUUACUGAGGAAAAGAAUCACGGGAAUACAGGUGGAUUGGAGAAGUCAGGCGACCAUGAAAGGAAAGAUUGUUUGGACGCACACUCCUAUUUGGUGAAAUGCAGAUUGGAAGAUGGGAGCUUGCUAUCUGAACAGAAUACGAGAAUGGAUAUCGAAGAGUGAGACAACUUGCUGAUAAAAUGAUCAAGUACAAUACCUUGAAACCUCCUGGAUUUUCUUUGGAUUGCCACGUUGUUCCCUUUCACAUAGGGAUUGAUAAUGAAACACUAGACGGUGUUCUUGCACUGGUUUUUUCAUAGUGUAUCUUGGAUGUGGAAUUGGGAGAAUCGCCGUAUUUGGUUUUAGUUCCUAGCCCGCAUCUCUUCCUGUCGUUCCUACGCGCUGUGUGUUAUAGGCUUAGUGGUCACAAAUAUUUGCAGUUUAACAGUCAGUUUCACAACUUUCAUGAAUGCAUCAAAUAAAUUUCAAUGUUGGCAUUAACUUUCUGUUAAGAUGAAUUACCUACUGUACAUUACAAUGGGGGCUGCUGAUAUCAGCUAAUUGUAUUAUUACUUUUGAACCUUGCUUACUGUUAAUUGCAGGUUUUGGAAAGAAAAGGAAAAUAGGGAAUCAAAUAAUGGCUUAGCAUAUAUUUUGUGGAAGGUGAUCCGGGCUACAUAUCUUCAUCUUAUGAACAUGAAAUGUGUGGUCCUGAUGUUGAUAAGCUGGAUAAUGUCCUAUCAGAUGCAUCGAGAGCCUCCAACAUUGUUGCAUUGUUGUACCGUGCUCUCUAAAUUACAUGAAGCUGAAAGAUCAAAUUGGUAGAAGUCAUUUCCGUAUUGGUACUACAUAAGCAUGGGCAUGGGUCAUUGAUGCUUGGAAGAAAACACACUCGGGCUUUUUAUUUAGUUGUUUUGUCAUCCUAUGUCCUACAAAGGAGCUCUACUCAGUAUAGUUAUAUAUUUUUUCGGUCAUGGUAGUAAUAUUUACAUUUGAU
This is a long non-coding RNA of Lolium rigidum, 1312 nucleotides long. RefSeq lists it as uncharacterized. The record is from RefSeq and is a predicted model, not a curated record. The transcript has 5 exons. Lineage: Eukaryota; Viridiplantae; Streptophyta; Magnoliopsida; Poales; Poaceae.